AACUUUUAGCAAUGGAUCUCUGACUGCCUCGAGUGCGUCGGCGACGACUACCGCGCGACGAACGUACUCGGCCCGAAUGGCGGCAAUGAGCGGGCGCUUCGCGAUAUCGCGACGCUCACGAAUGCGCUUGCUGACGAUGUCGAUAGCAUGGCCGAGAUCGCCAACGAGUUUGCUAAGCUCCGCGGCGCGUUGGCGCCUACCCGUGACCGAGUCCGCCGAUUCCUCUCCCAGCAGCGCAGCAACGCCAGGCGAGAGGGUCGGGCCGAUCGAGUCAGCGAGUUCCUCGCGCAGGCUCGCAAGUUCGCGAUCGGCUGCACCCUUUUGGGUGUUGAGGUCGAGGAGUUGCUGUUCAAGCUUUCCGAAUUCCGGGUCGACGUCGGCGAGGUCUGGCAUCACGAAGGGUUCUGAUUUCUUAAGCAUAUCAAUAAGCGGAGGCU
RNAcentral lists this unclassified non-coding RNA (437 nucleotides) under uncultured Ascomycota. RNAcentral describes it as "sequence contains ITS2". The record is from RNAcentral. Lineage: Eukaryota; Fungi; Ascomycota.